AGUUUGUCAGAGAUCAGCUGUGAACAUCUGGUCUCUGCCCUGAAGUCCAACCCGUCCCAUUUGACAGAACUGGACCUCAGUAACAACAACGACCUGAAAGAUGGUGAAGUGAAGGAGCUCUGUGGUUUCCUCCAGACUCCCCUCUGCAAACUACAGACACUGAGAUUGAUGAACUGCAGUUUGUCAGAGAUCAGCUGUAACAUCUGGUCUCUGCCCUGAAGUCCAACCCGUCCCAUCUGACAGAACUGGACCUGAGUAGACAACGACCUGAAAGAUGGUGGAGUGAAGGAGCUCUGUGGUUUCCUCCAGACUCCCCUCUGCAAACUACAGACACUGAGAUUGAUGAACUGCAGUUUGUCAGAGAUCAGCUGGGCGUCUCUGGUCUCUGCCCUGAAGUCCAACCCGUCCCAUCUGACAGAACUGGACCUGAGUAACAACG
Molecule: long non-coding RNA, 439 nt
Organism: Fundulus heteroclitus (mummichog)
Lineage: Eukaryota; Metazoa; Chordata; Actinopteri; Cyprinodontiformes; Fundulidae
Exons: 3
Source: RefSeq, a predicted model, not a curated record